GGGUUCUGGUGCUCCCCCAUUCCUGGUUUUCCUUCUCUGGAUCAGGGACAGGCCGGGGGUGGCUCCUGUCACCCCAGUGUCACCCUGGUGUCACCCCAGUGUCACCCCAGGGUCACCCCAGUGUCACCGCAGUGUCCCCAAGCCUGGGGGAUUUGGGGUCCCUGGGGAUUUUGGGGGGUUCUGGUGCUCCCCCAUUCCUGGUUUUUCCUCUGGAGAGCGGGGACAGGCCGGGGGUGGCUCCUGUGUCACCCCAGUGUCACCCUGGUGUCACCCCAGGGUCACCCCAGUGCCACCCCUGGGGUCACCGCGGUGUCCCCAGGCCUGGGGGAUUUGGGGUCCCGGGGGAUUUUGGGGGUUCUGCUGCUCCCCCAUUCCUGGUUUUCCUUCUCUGGAUCAGGGACAGGCUGGGGGUGGCUCCUGUGUCACCCCAGGGUCACCCCAGUGUCACCCCCGGGGUCACCCCGGGGUCACCCCAGUGUCACCGCAGUGUCCCCAAGCCCGGGGGAUUUGGGGUCCCGGGGGAUUUUGGGGGUUCUGGUGCUCCCCCAUUCCUGGUUUUCCUUCUCUGGAUCAGGGACAGGCUGGGGGUGGCUCCUGUCACCCUGGUGUCACCCCGGUGUCACCCCAGUGUCACCCCAGGGUCACCCCAGGGUCACCCCAGUGUCCCCAAGCCUGGGGGAUUUGGGGUCCCUGGGGAUUUUGGGGGUUCUGGUGCUCCCCCAUUCCUGAUUUUCCUUCUCUGGAUCAGGGACAGGCCGGGGGUGGCUCCUGUGUCACCCCAGUGUCACCCCCGGGGUCACUCCCGGGGUCACCGCGGUGUCCCCAAGCCCGGGGGACAAACCCAGGAUGCCCCGUGGGAGGAUUUGGGGUGUUUUAGAAGGAUUUUGGGGGCUCCGGUGUCCCCGUUCCCGGUUUUCCGUCUCUGUCCCUGCCCUGGGGUGACACCGGGCCCGGGAACUGGGAAUGAGCUGGAACUGGUCCUGGGGGACAGGGACACAGGGACAGGGAUGGGGACACAGGGACAGGGAUGGGGACACAGGGGACAGGGACAGGGACAGGGACAGGGACAGGGACAGGGACAGGGACAGGGACAGAGGGGACAGGGAUGGGGACACAGGGGACAGGGACAGGGACAGGGACAGGGGG
Molecule: long non-coding RNA, 1146 nt
Organism: Cyanistes caeruleus (blue tit)
Lineage: Eukaryota; Metazoa; Chordata; Aves; Passeriformes; Paridae
Source: Ensembl